CAGUCGCCGCGGUAAUACGAAGGGGGCUAGCGUUGUUCGGAAUUACUGGGCGUAAAGCGCACGUAGGCGGAUAUUUAAGUCAGGGGUGAAAUCCCGCAGCUCAACUGCGGAACUGCCUUUGAUACUGGGUAUCUUGAGUAUGGAAGAGGUUAAUGGAAUUGCGAGUGUAGAGGUGAAAUUCGUAGAUAUUCGCAGGAACACCAGUGGCGAAGGCGGCUAACUGGUCCAUAACUGACGCUGAGGUGCGAAAGCGUGGGGAGCAAACAGGAUUAGAUACCCCGGUAGUCCCUGUCUCUUAUAC
Molecule: ribosomal RNA, 301 nt
Filed under: uncultured bacterium
Lineage: Bacteria
Description: partial 16S ribosomal RNA
Rfam family: Bacterial small subunit ribosomal RNA
Source: RNAcentral